GAGUUUGAUUAUGGCUCAGGAUGAACGCUGGCGGUCUGCUUAACACAUGAAGUCGAACGGGGGUUUUCGAACCCUAGUGGCGGACGGGUGAGUAACGCUGAGAAUCUGCCCUUAGGACGGGGACAACAGCUGGAAACGGCUGCUAAUCCCGAUGUGCCGAGAGGUGAAACGGUGAAAUCCGCCUGAGGAUGAGCUCCGUCUGAUUAGCUAGUUGGUGGGGUAAGGGCCUACCAAGGCGACGAUCAUAGCUGGUCUGAGAGGAUGAUCAGCCACACUGGGACUGAGACACGGCCCGACUCCUACGGGAGGCAGCAGUGGGGAAUUUUCCGCAAUGGGCGCAAGCUGACGGAGCAAGACCGCGUGCGGGAGGACGGCCUAAUGGUUGUAAACCGUUUUGAUAGGGAAGAAGUACUGACGGUACCUAUCGAAUCAGCAUCGGCUACUCCGUGCCAGCAGCCGCGGUAAUACGGAGGAUGCAAGCGUUAUCCGGAUUAUUGGGCGUAAAGGGUCCGCAGGUGGUUUCUCAAGUC
This 530-nucleotide ribosomal RNA is filed under the name uncultured cyanobacterium. Its description in RNAcentral is "bacterial SSU rRNA". It matches the Rfam family "Bacterial small subunit ribosomal RNA", at positions 9 to 589 of the family's 1533-position model. Lineage: Bacteria; Bacillati; Cyanobacteriota. The record is from RNAcentral.